AUUCAACCUUCCUUCUGGUUUCUUUUUCAUAAGGUGUCAAAGCCUGUCAGGAUAAGGUCUCUUGAUGCCAAGAACACAUCAUUUAUCAACAGUGGAACUGUCUUUAACCUGUUUGAUAUCUGUACUUAUUAUAUGUAUAUAAUCCUGUAAAAUCUG
Molecule: non-coding RNA, 156 nt
Organism: Kogia breviceps (pygmy sperm whale)
Lineage: Eukaryota; Metazoa; Chordata; Mammalia; Artiodactyla; Physeteridae
Source: RefSeq, a predicted model, not a curated record